GACGAACGCUGGCGGCGUGCUUAACACAUGCAAGUCGAGCGGUAAGGCCCUUUCGGGGGUACGACGAGCGGCGAACGGGUGAGUAACACGUGGGUGACCUGCCCUCCAGCUCUGGGAGUAAGCCUGGGAAACCGGGGUACCUAAUACCGGGAUAUGACUCCAUGACGCAUGUUGUGGGGUGGAAAGCCUUGUGCGGCUGAGGAUGGGCCCGCGGCCUAUCAGCUUGUUGGUGGGGUGAUGGCCUACCAAGGCGACGACGGGUAGCCGGCCUGAGAGGGCGACCGGCCACACUGGGACUGAGACACGGCCCAGACUCCUACGGGAGGCAGCAGUGGGGAAUCUUGCGCAAUGGGCGAAAGCCUGACGCAGCGACG
This 374-nucleotide ribosomal RNA is filed under the name uncultured bacterium. RNAcentral's name for it is "bacterial SSU rRNA". It matches the Rfam family "Bacterial small subunit ribosomal RNA", at positions 28 to 396 of the family's 1533-position model. The record is from RNAcentral.